AUACGUAGGUGACAAGCGUUAUCCGGAUUUACUGGGCGUAAAGGGCGCGUAGGCGGUCUUGCAAGUCAGAAGUGAAAUUCCUGGGCUCAACUCGGGCGCUGCUUCUGAAACUGCAGGACUUGAGUGCUGGAGGGGAUGGCGGAAUUCCUAGUGGAGCGGUAAAAUGCGCAGAUAUUAGGAAGAACACCGGUGGCGAAGGCGGCUAUCUGGACAGCAACUUACGCUGAGGCGCGAAAGCGUGGGGAGCAAAAAGGAUUAGAUACCCUGGUGGUCUACGCCGUAAACGAUGAAUACUAGGUGUAGGGGGUAUCGACUCCCUCUGUGCCGCAGUUAACACAAUAAGUAUUCCGCCUGGGGAGUACGGCCGCAAGGUUGAAACUCAAAUGAAUUGACGGGG
This 397-nucleotide ribosomal RNA is filed under the name uncultured bacterium. Its description in RNAcentral is "partial 16S ribosomal RNA". It matches the Rfam family "Bacterial small subunit ribosomal RNA", at positions 523 to 918 of the family's 1533-position model. The record is from RNAcentral.